GGAUGUGGCAAAAUUGGUAGAUGCACCAGGUUUAGAUUCUGGCGCUGUAAGGUAGGUGAGUUUAGGUCUCUUUAUCCGCACCA
RNAcentral lists this transfer RNA (83 nucleotides) under Gilliamella apicola. RNAcentral describes it as "tRNA-Leu (TAG) (tRNA-Leu-TAG-2-1)". Lineage: Bacteria; Pseudomonadati; Pseudomonadota; Gammaproteobacteria; Orbales; Orbaceae. The record is from RNAcentral.